RNAcentral lists this ribosomal RNA (253 nucleotides) under uncultured bacterium. RNAcentral's name for it is "partial 16S ribosomal RNA". It matches the Rfam family "Bacterial small subunit ribosomal RNA", at positions 524 to 776 of the family's 1533-position model. The record is from RNAcentral.
UACGUAGGGUGCAGGCGUUAAUCGGAAUUACCGGGCGUAAAGCGUGCGCAGGCGGUCUGCUAAGACAGGUGUGAAAUCCCCGGGCUUAACCUGGGAACUGCGCUUGUUACUGGCAGGCUGGAGUGUGGCAGAGGGGGGUGGAAUUCCACGUGUAGCAGUGAAAUGCGUAGAGAUGUGGAGGAACACCGAUGGCGAAGGCAGCCCCCUGGGCUAACACUGACGCUCAUGCACGAAAGCGUGGGGAGCAAACAGG